Molecule: non-coding RNA, 69 nt
Organism: Phrynosoma platyrhinos (Desert horned lizard)
Lineage: Eukaryota; Metazoa; Chordata; Lepidosauria; Squamata; Phrynosomatidae
Source: the annotation of a GenBank genome assembly
AGCACAGUGUAGUGGUUUGAGUGUUGGACUGCAAUUCUGGAGACCAGGGUUCGAUUCCCAGCUCGGCCA